GGGGGGGCCCUGCUGCGCGGCGGAGCCCUAGAGGUACCGCGCGGGAAAGCGAACUCGUCCAGUGUGCAGAGCGUUCUCAGCCCGGCCGUCUGCCUGUCGCGCGUCUUCAGGCCUUCGGCUAUCCAGCAGGAGAAAAAGUGUGUUCAGACAUCAUAAAAUGGGCAUCUCCCAAGGUCAAAUUUCAACAUUGCUUGAGUGUCUUGGUUUUAAGCUUAUUUUUUUGUGAACUUUUCUGUUGUCUUCUCACCUAUACUCCCUGGCUAAGAGGUCAGGGGUAGCUAGUGUUCCCUUAAGUUCAUUUUAAAACUUUCCAUUGGUGCAUAAAUUGCAGCUGGAAGAUGCUGUCAAUAUUCUCACCAUCGAUGACCUUUGUUUGUGUAGUCCUUGAAUCCCCAAAGGAUUAGCCACUUUAAAAUUUCUACAGUGCAUGUAUCCAUUGUUCAUAAUCUUCAUGGAGUGGCAUGUAUUUGCAGUUUCU
This 478-nucleotide long non-coding RNA is filed under the name Equus caballus (horse). RNAcentral's name for it is "lncRNA (ENSECAG00000053108.1)". The record is from RNAcentral. Lineage: Eukaryota; Metazoa; Chordata; Mammalia; Perissodactyla; Equidae.